AUACAACCUCAGAUCAGACAUGGCAACCCUCUGUUAGCAUCUCACUUAGUGGAGGUAAUGAAACUUAACAGGAUUCCCUCAGUAAUUUUGAGUGAUGAGGUAAAAUUCCAGAACCAAAUUCCCUUUUGGCAGUGGGUGGGGGACAUUUGGUUGCACAAGAAUGACUCCCCGGUGUCGCUUAGUGGUGAUAGAUCAGUGGCAGACCCUGGUCCGCUGGGAUUGGGUCUUCUCAGAGUCGGGUUGCUUGGGAAUGGAGCCCAAAGGGGUUGGUAGACUCCAUCUAAGACUAAAUAUGGGCAAGAGACCGAUAGCCAACAGGUUCCGUAAGAGAAAGUUGAAAAGAGCUUUGAAGAGAGAAUUAAAGAGGGCGUGAAUCCAUCGAGAAGUAAAUGGGUGGAGUCCAGCCAAUUGGCUUGGAGGAUUCAACACAGUGGGUAGGUUGGUCACUCAAAGGGUGCCAGGGGUCUGCAGUGAUGUCUGUUACCAAUCCAACCCAUUUUGAAUCAAGGACAAAGGAGUUUAAGACAUGCACGAGUCGGUGGGCCAAACAAAAUCCUGUGGGCAAUGAAGGUCUGCGGCUGAGGUGGGAUCCUAUUGCAGUGUUGAGGCAGGCUCACCACUGGCCCGUCUCAAUCGCUCUGUCAGUAGGUGGGCAUGUGUCUAUAGAAUCCAAAAGAUGGUGAACUGUGCCUGGGCAGGGCAAAGCAAGAGGGAACUCUGGUGGAGGUCUGUAUCAGUCCUGAUAUGCAUAUUGGUCAGUUGACCUGUGUGCAGGGGAGAAAUACUAAUCAAACCAUCUAGUAGCUUGUUAGUGUCUCUCAGGAUAGCUGGCAAUUAGAUAGCCCCAUGGAGUCGGGCAUCAAAUGCCAGUGCCCAUUGUGACACUUUUGGUAAGAAGAACUGGCGCAGUGGUAUGAUCAGAAUGCCAGGUUAAGGCACAUGAUGCCAACUCUCAUCAGACCUCAGAAAAUGUAUUGGACACCAAAAUGGUACCCAUGGAUUCAGAAUCUGCAAAGAAGUGUGACACAACUCACCAGCCAAAUCAAUUAGCCCUGACUAUGGAUGGUGCUGGAGUGUCAGGACCAUAUAUGGCUGACGCUGGUGCUGAGAGCCACAGGGUCCAACAUGCAAAGAGUAGGAGGGCUGCUGCUUUGCGCACAAUUGCCCGGGGAAAGUGCCCUGUUGGAGCCACCUGAGCUGCAGAUAUUGGUGGUAGUAGCAAAUAUUAAGUCGAGAGGUUUGAAGUGCCAUGUGGAGGAGGGUACCAUGUGAAACGAUAUUUACGCAUGGGUCACUCAUCUUAAGCGAUGAGCGUGCCGAUGCCCUCAGCUGAUCUAAAGGGAGUCGGUGGCAGGGGCGGGACCCCUAAGGGCAUCCAGUGCAGUAACACAACUGUUCCCAGAGGAGCAGGCCUGAGCCCUGGGGAGAGUUCUAUUUUCUUUGCUAAGGGCAGGGGACCCUGGAAUGUGUUUGCCCCUUGAGUGCUGCCAGAGCCUUGGAGAGAGUUGAGGUUCUGGCGGUGUCUGGUGAGCUUUAACUGGGCCUUGAAAAUCCAGGGGAGAUAGUGUAAAUCUCACACUGAGCCGUACACAUAUCUGCAGCAGGUCUCCAGGGGGAACAGCCUCUGGCAUGUUGGAACAAUGUAGGUAAGGGUAGUCAGCAAAUCAGAUCUGUAACUUCUUGAUAAUUAUUGUCUCUAAGGGCUGGGUCAGUCAGGAUGGGGUCCAAAGUGGGGCUGGGCACACGCCAUGGCUGGACAAAGUGUCUCCCCUCCUUGGGGGCCCCAAUGACUCUGAAUGUGAGUCAGGCCCUUUGUGUAGAUCACCCCCUCUAUGGAGGUCACCUCUCUCUGUUUGCCUCUGGGGGUUUGGGCCCAGAGUUCUGCCUCGGCCUUCACCUAGCAGCUGACUUACAAAUGGUGCAGACCAGGGGAAUCUGAAUUUUUUUAAUUCAACCAAAACAUCGCGAAGGCCCAUGCGGAUGUUGAUGCUCAGUGCUCUGAAUGUCAAAGUUAAGAAAUUCAAUGAAGUGCGGGUAAAUGGUGGGAGUAACUAUGACUCUCUUACGGUAGCCAAAUGCCUGAUCAUCUAUUUAGAGAUAUGCAUGAAUGAAUGAACAAGAUUCCCCCUGCCCAUACCUACUAUCUAACAGCACCACAGCCAAGAGAACAGGCUUAGUAGAAUCAGAGGGGAAAGAAGACUGAGUUGUGCUUGACUCCAGUCUGGCAUUGUUAAGAUACAUGAGAGGUAUAGGAUAUGUGGGAGGCCCUCGGGCGGCCAGUUCAAUUCCACUACUUUUAUCAUUUUCUCAUUUACCCUGUGUGGUGGGGGCAGGCCCUGUGGGGUUGUGACUUCUGGCUCCAAGCUCCGGGUCUAGCAAGGCAUGACCAGCUCUCGGGACAGUGGCCUGUGGGGAGUUUGACUGGGGCAGUACACCUGUCAAAAGAUAACACAGGUGCCCUAAGGGGAUCUCAGGCAGGGCAGAAAACUCCCAUAGAAGCAUGGACUCUUGAUUCUUCUGACAUCUGACUUUUUGGGUUUCAAGCAGGCAGUGUCAGGAAAUGACAAAAAGUAUAACUGUUUUGUGGCAGUCAAGCAUUCUUAGCAAUUUUGAUUUUUCUUCCAUCUAUGUCGGAACUUCUAAUCAAUGUGAAGCAGCAUUCAUCAAGCGUUGGAUUGUUCAACCACUAAUAGGGAAUGGGUUUAGACCAUCGUGUGACAGGUUAAUUUUACCCUAAUGAUGAUGUGUUGUUGCAAUAGUAAUCCUGCUCAGUACUAGAGGAAACGCAGGUUGAGACAUUUGGUGCAUGUGCUUAGAGUAGAAGCCAGUGUGGCGAAGCUACCAUCUGGUGUAUUAUGACUGAACGCUUGUAAGUUAGAUUCCCCCCUGAACUGUAACAGUAGAGCAAUGCUGUGGUGUUUCAGUUAGUCUAGAAAAGACGGCCUCUGGGCAUGGGAGUAUAGCCGCUCACCUCAGGACUCGAGUGUGGACAGAUGGGAGCCAUCUCGCUCGCAACAUAUUGCAUGGCAUUUUCAUUGGGGAUUGGUACAAAAACAUUCAUACAUAACCUGAUUCUGGGUCAGGGUUUUGUAAAUAGCAGAGCAGAUAGUUUUCUCUGAUCUAUUGAA
This 3128-nucleotide ribosomal RNA is filed under the name Ambystoma mexicanum (axolotl). Its description in RNAcentral is "eukaryotic LSU rRNA". It matches the Rfam family "Eukaryotic large subunit ribosomal RNA". Lineage: Eukaryota; Metazoa; Chordata; Amphibia; Caudata; Ambystomatidae. The record is from RNAcentral.